Molecule: ribosomal RNA, 402 nt
Filed under: uncultured bacterium
Lineage: Bacteria
Description: bacterial SSU rRNA
Rfam family: Bacterial small subunit ribosomal RNA
Source: RNAcentral
GAGUUUGAUCGUGGCUCAGAUUGAACGCUGGCGGCAGGCUUAACACAUGCAAGUCGAACGGUAGCAGGGAGAAAGCUUGCUUUCUUUGCUGACGAGUGGCGGACGGGUGAGUAAUGCUUGGGAAUCUGGCUUAUGGAGGGGGAUAACGACGGGAAACUGUCGCUAAUACCGCGUAGUGUCGAGAGACGAAAGACUGGGACCGCAAGGCCGGUUGCCAUAAGAUGAGCCCAAGUGGGAUUAGGUAGUUGGUGGGGUAAAGGCCUACCAAGCCUGCGAUCUCUAGCUGGUCUGAGAGGAUGGCCAGCCACACUGGAACUGAGACACGGUCCAGACUCCUACGGGAGGCAGCAGUGGGAAUAUUGCGCAAUGGGGGCAACCCUGACGCAGCCAUGCCGCGUGAAU